Molecule: ribosomal RNA, 499 nt
Filed under: uncultured bacterium
Lineage: Bacteria
Description: bacterial SSU rRNA
Rfam family: Bacterial small subunit ribosomal RNA
Source: RNAcentral
AUUGAACGCUGGCGGAAUGCUUUACACAUGCAAGUCGAACGGCAGCACGGGGCAACCUGGUGGCGAGUGGCGAACGGGUGAGUAAUACAUCGGAACGUGCCCAAUCGUGGGGGAUAACGUAGCGAAAGUUACGCUAAUACCGCAUACGAUCUACGGAUGAAAGCGGGGGAUCGCAAGACCUCGCGCGAGUGGAGCGGCCGAUGUCAGAUUAGGUAGUUGGUGGGGUAAAGGCUCACCAAGCCAACGAUCUGUAGCUGGUCUGAGAGGACGACCAGCCACACUGGAACUGAGACACGGUCCAGACUCCUACGGGAGGCAGCAGUGGGAAUUUUGGACAAUGGGCGCAAGCCUGAUCCAGCCAUUCCGCGUGCAGGAUGAAGGCCUUCGGGUUGUAAACUGCUUUUGUACGGUAACGAAACGGACGAGGACUCUAAUACAUUUGCUAAUGACGGUACCGUAAGAAUAAGCACCGCUAACUACGUGCCAGCAGCCGCGGUAA